CUUCUAUUCGCUCACGGUCCUUUUUAUAAGUGCAAAUUGGGUUGAAAUCAGAUUAAAAUUGGAUUCUUGUUCGCAUUCAAAGUCCUCAACCCACAUCCGUCGUCGGAUGAUGAUCCUGCCUCUAAAUAGCCCAUAACAGGUCGGAAUCAUUCCCCACCAUUGAAUCUAUCCCAAGAUCAAUUCUCGUCCAUCGGAUGGUGCAAAAACUCAGCCCAGACUCCUCUUAGCCAUCCACAAAUCCCGACCAUCCAAUCAAGCCCAGUA
Molecule: long non-coding RNA, 264 nt
Filed under: Elaeis guineensis (African oil palm)
Lineage: Eukaryota; Viridiplantae; Streptophyta; Magnoliopsida; Arecales; Arecaceae
Description: long non-coding RNA (EGUI_LNC035650)
Source: RNAcentral